UACACUCAGAUUUUUUAUUACUUUCAUUUGAAAUCUGGUUGGUUUUAAAACGAAAUGAAGUUUGUUUUAAUUAACGUGUGACUUUUAAACGUGAAGUUAAAAAAGAAAAAAAAGUGCGCGGAAAAUUUGUUUAUUUUUUAACUUCAAAGAGGAAUGGUACUGGCAGUGGAGGUCUUGUCCGCAUUCCUGAAGAAACUUUAUACUUCGGUUACGAAAGAUGAACGGCAGGCGGGCCCUAAAAGGUGGGAUUAUUGCAUUCCCCAUCUUUUCUGGAAGUUCCUACCAUUACCACAAAGGUGUUUGCGGUAACUUAAUCCGUAUCCUAUCGAUCGGUGAAAAUGUUUUCUCCAGAAGGCAGCAGAAUUCCAGGUAUGCCGUCGCCGUUAAUUCUCACCGGUAGAAAAAAAAGGCAGCUGGAAGCGUACCGUUGCUGGCCGGAGGCUGAUAAGGCUAAAAAAGAUGCGUUGGACUAGCCAGCUCGGAGAUCGCAGACUAGCCAUUCCCCUGCGCAGAACGGUUCUUUCCUGAAGCAGGCAAUACGCAGUGAGCUCAUCGUUUGCAUGCAUGUACCUAGCAGAUCCAAGAAGAAUAUA
This is a long non-coding RNA of Uranotaenia lowii, 593 nucleotides long. RefSeq lists it as uncharacterized. NCBI's taxonomy places the organism in Eukaryota, Metazoa, Arthropoda, Insecta, Diptera, Culicidae. The transcript has 3 exons. The record is from RefSeq and is a predicted model, not a curated record.